Long non-coding RNA from Gallus gallus (chicken), 1672 nucleotides. NCBI's taxonomy places the organism in Eukaryota, Metazoa, Chordata, Aves, Galliformes, Phasianidae. The record is from Ensembl.
GGAAAGUAAUGUUGCAAACAGGCCAGCAAACACCCUAACUGAAUAAGAACACUUCCUGGGAGGAUCUUAAGAGAGAGAACCGAAGGGGACUGAAAGUCUCCCUGAAGCUGUGAUUCACCAUUGCGCUGGCACUGUUGGCUCUGCCUGCUUAAACAGUUCCGUUCUCAAGCCUAGCUGCUGCUUCCCAGCUUUGCUGUGCCUCUCACUUAUGCCAGCCAAGCUCUGUUUGGGACCAAGCUGGAACAUGGCUCCGUGUCUUUUUAGGACGUUACCCAAAUACGCCUGGCAUCACACCAUUCUGUUUUCUUCAAAGUGGUGGAUUAUGCUGAAAUAAAUUUGUAAAUUCCACAGAUGUCAGCACUGUGUCCGCUGAGGCUAGUCAGAUCCUUACAGUGAGGAAAUAGUCUUGUCCUUCCUAAAAUGGGGAUACUUUGCAAAUAAACAAGGGAUACAUUUCCAUUAGAUUGUGCCAUUGUAGGCAGUUCGACACACGGGUGAAUGACUUUGAUUGUUUUCAGUAGAAAGAAGUUAUGCACAUACACACUCAAGUGAGAAUGACAUUGUUCCUUCUGUGUUUUGUGAAAUGACAGUUACUGAGAGGAUAAACCCAGAAGAAUGGCUAUGGAUAAAUCUGUAUCUGAAUUAUCAAUGAAGAGUUUAUCUCCUUCUCUCAUUUCAUAGACCAUUGACUGGUAUUCCCAUGCAACCAUAUUUUAAUAGAAAAGCAAAAAUUUCCUCCUAGGCAAAGAAAAAAUAAAUGAAAAAAUGAUUUCCUUGUUCAGAUCAUCUGGAGUAGGGAAAUCAUUUGGGACUGUUUAUCCAACAAAAGAAACAGGGGAACCAAUGGGGGAAAAUGCCUUAUGGCUCAGGAGAUGCAUCACACCCUGUUUGGCGAAAUGCUUUCUGUAUAUAUGGGACCUCAGCUGUUAUUUUCUGUGGCUGUCAUACUGAAAUGCUUGCCUUUAUAACAGCCAACUGUAUUGUUGUCACUUAGUGGAACUUCUGUGUAUAUCAGUGUUGCUGGAUGUCUUUCCUCCUGAAUUCUUCUGUGAUUGAAACUGAGUAACCGUGUAUGACUUAUCCCUGAGUGACAGAUGCCACCCAUCUAACUGCAUCCUGCAGCACUGAGACAGCCUUUCACCAGCUGUGGGGGUACCUAUGGCAGGUACUGCCAGAAAUCCCCCUUUUCUUUAGAUCUUUCAGUCGCAGCAAGCUGAUGUCUGGUUACAUCUGUUGUGGUGCACUGACUUUUUUUUUCCUCUUUCUUAAAUUAAAUUGUUUCUUCCAGCACCUGCAGAAAUAAUCGCUGAGCGUGUGUCUGAAAGCAGGUUGGCAUCAAAUCUAUAGGGGAUUUCCAUUUAUGAGCAGUGAUCAGCCCCAGGAUUGAGGUCUACAGAAUGAAUUCUGCAUUCUGCUGUGAUAGCUACUGUAAAUAGAGCUGCAUAAAACCAGCAGUCCAUGUUAUGAGACAGACACUGACGUGAUCUCUUACUGUUAUAUGCAUCCCCAUCAUUUUGCAAAUGAGAAGAUAGCUCUGUAUGAUGUGUCUUUGAUUCUACCAUGACAUCCUUCAGCAUUGUAUCUGAGCAGAAAUGAUUCAUUUCACUUGUCAUUGUAGUUAAGCCCCCUCUGGAGCUGCAGAAAAAAAUACAUCUAUUAAAAAGUCACUGUU